CCUACGGGAGGCAGCAGUGAGGAAUAUUGGUCAAUGGACGAGAGUCUGAACCAGCCAAGCAGCGUGAAGGAUGACUGCCCUAUGGGUUGUAAACUUCUUUUAUAUGGGAAUAAAAUGUUCCACGUGUGGGAUUUUGUAUGUACCAUAUGAUUCAGGAUCGGCUAACUCCGUGCCAGCAGCCGCGGUAAUACGGAGGAUCUGAGCGUUAUCCGGAAUUAUUGGGUUUAAAGGGAGCGUAGGUGGAUUGUUAAGUCAGUUGUGAAAGUUUGCGGCUCAACCGUAAAAUUGCAGUUGAAACUGGCAGUCUAGAGUACAGUAGAGGUAGGCGGAAUUCGUGGUGUAGCGGUGAAAUGCGUAGAGAGCAAGAAGAACUCCGAUUGCGAAGGCAGCUCACUGGACUGCAACUGACACUGAGGCGCGAAAGUGUGGGUAUCAAACAGGAUUAGAUACCCUGGUAGUC
This 460-nucleotide ribosomal RNA is filed under the name uncultured bacterium. RNAcentral describes it as "partial 16S ribosomal RNA". It matches the Rfam family "Bacterial small subunit ribosomal RNA", at positions 338 to 795 of the family's 1533-position model. The record is from RNAcentral.